GGCUGGUCCGAGUGCAGUGGUGUUUACAACUAAUUGAUCACAACCAGUUACAGAUUUCUUUGUUCCUUCUCCACUCCCACUGCUUCACUUGACUAGCCUUUA
Unclassified non-coding RNA from Aotus nancymaae (Ma's night monkey), 102 nucleotides. It matches the Rfam family "Y RNA". Rfam says of the family: Y RNAs are components of the Ro ribonucleoprotein particle (Ro RNP), in association with Ro60 and La proteins. The Y RNAs and Ro60 and La proteins are well conserved, but the function of the Ro RNP is not known. Lineage: Eukaryota; Metazoa; Chordata; Mammalia; Primates; Aotidae. The record is from Ensembl.